Molecule: ribosomal RNA, 253 nt
Filed under: uncultured bacterium
Lineage: Bacteria
Description: partial 16S ribosomal RNA
Rfam family: Bacterial small subunit ribosomal RNA
Source: RNAcentral
UACGAGUGCCCCAAGCGUUAUCCGGAAUUAUUGGGCGUAAAGGGUGUGUAGGCGGUCUAGUUAGUCUUCUGUCAAAUUCUUCGGCUUAACCGGGGGUCCGCAGGGGAAACGGCUAGACUCGAGGAUGCGAGAGGUGAAUGGAACUCAUAGUGUAGGGGUGAAAUCCGUUGAUAUUAUGGGGAACACCAAAAGCGAAGGCAAUUCACUGGCGCACUCCUGACGCUGAAACACGAAAGCGUGGGUAGCGAAUGGG